UACGUAGGGUGCGAGCGUUAAUCGGAAUUACUGGGCGUAAAGCGUGCGCAGGCGGUUUUGUAAGCCAGAUGUGAAAUCCCCGGGCUUAACCUGGGAAUGGCAUUUGGGACUGCAAGGCUUGAGUGCGGCAGAGGAGACUGGAAUUCCUGGUGUAGCAGUGAAAUGCGUAGAUAUCAGGAGGAACACCGAUGGCGAAGGCAGGUCUCUGGGCUGACACUGACACUGAGGAGCGAAAGCGUGGGGAGCGAACAGG
This 253-nucleotide ribosomal RNA is filed under the name uncultured bacterium. RNAcentral's name for it is "partial 16S ribosomal RNA". It matches the Rfam family "Bacterial small subunit ribosomal RNA", at positions 524 to 776 of the family's 1533-position model. The record is from RNAcentral.